Molecule: transfer RNA, 72 nt
Filed under: Ovis aries (sheep)
Lineage: Eukaryota; Metazoa; Chordata; Mammalia; Artiodactyla; Bovidae
Rfam family: tRNA
About the family: Transfer RNA (tRNA) molecules are approximately 80 nucleotides in length. Their secondary structure includes four short double-helical elements and three loops (D, anti-codon, and T loops).
Source: Rfam by way of RNAcentral
UCCUGGUGACUGAGAUGAUAAAGAAUCUGCCUGUAAUGCAGGAGGACCCAGGUUCAAUUCCUGGGUCAGGAA